Long non-coding RNA from Mustela lutreola (European mink), 3075 nucleotides. RefSeq lists it as uncharacterized. Lineage: Eukaryota; Metazoa; Chordata; Mammalia; Carnivora; Mustelidae. The record is from RefSeq and is a predicted model, not a curated record. The transcript has 2 exons.
CCACAGUCAAGAAUGCUCCUGAAGCAGACGAUGCCCCUUCCGACAUUAUUAUCAGAUCAGAGGUGGCCCAGCCCUAGGUCACAGUGCCGACGUCACUCCCCUGACUUUGUCUCAUCACGUGGGCAUUUUAUCAUCUCACAUCAUCACAAGAACAAGGGGUUUGGUGCCGUCUGCAGUUUCAGGCAUCUGCGGAGUGUUUUGGAACGUAUCCUCCAUGGAUAAAGGAGCUACUGUAUGCAGACUGUGCACUACUGAGGUUGUGUCCAUUGUAAGUUACAACUGUAAAUUUAAGGCAAACAAAAUGGACUGGGAAGUUAUGGGAUGAGAGCCUGCAGAUCACACCACAAAAAGGGUAGGUAAAAAGCAGUUCUGUGGGUCCAUGAAGCAGCAGACCCGGCUCAUCUGUUUAGGAAACCUCUAUGGGAGAAAGCAGCUGGACCCAUCUUCAGUCCCUGUGUUAUCCUCCCUUGACAUUCAGAUCCCAGGAGAAGGGCGUCUGAUUAGUUUGGCUGGGAUCAUAUGCCCUCCUUUUAGCCAAAAAUAGUUGUAUCGACAGUUAUAAAGACGGUGUUUAGUGCGGGUUGGGGGAGGGGAUCAAAACCAAACCUGGGUUCUGAUUCUAGAAAAAGAAGAGGUAAAUGUUGGGCAGAUCAAAACAUCCAAUCUCCGGAGCACCUGGCUGGCUCAGUAGGUAGAACGUGUGGACCCUUGAUCUUGAGCUUGUAGGUUCAAGCCCCAUGUUAGGUCGUAGAGAUUACUUAAAAAUAAAAUCUUUAGAAAAAAGGUGUCCACCAGAAAGUCCUGUAACAGCAAACGAUGGAAAUGAGAAUUGAAAGAAUUAAUAGAUAUUCCACCAAAGCAGGUAAGCACAGAACCACAAUGUGGGGCUGCCCCUGAGUGCCAUGGCAGGCAGGCGUCAGAGAAGCCAGCAGGCAGUGAGCUAAGAUGUUAAGGAGAGCUCGGACAACUUACAGUUUCUUCUUCUUUUUUCUUCUAGUCGGACUCUUGGCUAAGCUACUCACUACUACUGAUAGCCAUCUCUUAGCAGCAGGGCCAUUUCCUGUCUGUUCUGGAAAGCUCUGGAAUCCAGUGGCUUUGACUAAGUGGUCUGAAGAGAACUGUUGUGAGCAAAGCGCCUUGACACCCCCUUGGUGCUUCCCCAGAAGCAUCUGCUGUGUGGCCCUUGCUAAGGCCAUGAGCUCCAGCCAGUGUUUCAGAGGAAAUGAGGAAAGACUGACUAAAAGACUGCUCCCCAAACUCAUUCUGAGGCACCUGCUCUAUAUCUGUUCUCUGAUUUCAUGCUGGCAGCUGGUCAGCAGGCUGAGCAUGAUUAACACCAUCUGUCAGUCGAAGCGACUGAGAUUGAUGAAGUGACCUGCCUGGUGACAAGUGGGAGAGCUGGGAUUUGAACCUAGGACCAGUGAGCUCCAAAGACCCUGCUUGACUGCUGGACUGGGGCCCACCCCAGGGGUCAGUUCAGCCUAGACACACCACGUAACUUCCCUGGGUUUCCCCCACCUGCAAACCAAGGAGCUGAAAGCUAAGUGAGAGGAUCGUCUCCUGCCCUCAUUCAGAAGCGUCCCAGACAGCGACGGGUGGGUGCCGCCAAUGAGGCCCAGGCCACAUUGAGUGUUAAGAAGAGAUGACUGAUUGAAGUGGCUUUCAGCAGAGAAGCCAGCCCACCACAGGCUGGAGGCAAGACCUAAGUAUGUGAGUCACCCCGACCUCUCCCUGCCACCAGAGGGGACCGGGACAACCCGUGUCUGGUCUCCUCGGGUCCCUACCCCCACCCUCAAGGGUGUCUCAGAACCAAGGCACAGACUCCACCGAGAUUAGGACUACGUGCUCAGACGCACACACAGACUUUGCAAACAAUGCAGGGAAAUAAAGUUCUCACAGGAAACAUUAUCAUACUGACUCACGACAGACCCAUCCAUAAAACAAACUCCUGGUACCUGGGGCCGCCUCAGAGAGCAGUGGCCUGGGAGAUAGGCCCACUCUCUCCUGGGCCCUGGAGGAAGUGGGUGCCGCCAGGGGGAGGGGCAGCUUCCCCUGCCCGCUCUGACGCCUGCCUGGGAUCUGAAUUAUCUGUCAGAGGGAGAAAAAUGAUUAUUUUUAAAAAGAAACACAAGUCCCAGAGCAUCCCGGCCUCUUCGCCUUGUCACAAGAGCUCUGUUGCAAAAAAACCUCUCCUGAUGUCGUGGUAUUUUGCAAGUCAUUUGCCAUGCCAAUGCAGAAAACAUUAUGGUCCCCAGAGGCCUGUGUCCUCACCAGUCCUUGCCUUGCAAAGCAGGCUUGACUGUUGCCAGUGUGGAAAGACAUUUUGAUCCAAGUCUGUUUUCAGAUCAGAGAAGUCAGGUUGGUGCAUCAUGGAGACAUCCGACGGACAGCUAUUACUUGUUAGGAGCCUCAGCACCUCAUCUGCAAAAUGGGAACAGUCAUAAGAAAAGAAAGUAAGAAAAUGUAUGUUUAUCACAUGGCGCAGUGUUCGUUUUCCUGACCUGCUGUGAGACGCAGCCUGGAAAAGGGCCUUGGGAAUCUGAAGACCCUCAUCCAAGUCUUGACCCUACCUACCCCUUCUUAAUCCUGGGAGCCUUGGCAAGCUGGGCCUCAUCCGUACCUCAAUUUCCAACUCUGGAAAAGCAAAGGCUUUGACCAGUCCUGACAUGUCCGGCCCCCAGGGUGCGAUGUGGCUGUGAGGCGAGCUGGGUCAUCAGCCAGGUUUAGGAUUUGGGGUCAUGAGGAGCUUGAGUACCAAGGAGUUGGAGUGUUCUGGUUGUUCCGGUCUCCACUGAGCCCUGGCCAUUUUCCCAUCCUAGAAUAAGAAUGAUGGGACACCUGGGUGGCUCAGUGGGUUAAGCCUCUGCCUUCGGCUCAGGUCAUGAUCUCAGGAUUCUGGGAUCGAGCCCCGCAUCGGGCUCUCUGCUUGGCAGGGAGCCUGCUUCCUCCUCUCUCUCUCUCUGCCUGCCUCUCUGCCUACUUGUGAUCUCUAUCAAAUAAGUAAAUAAAAUCUUUAAAAAAAAAAGAAUGACACAUGGUGUCAUGGUCCAUUCCAUGGACACCAUGUGUCCAGGA